CUCCGCCAUCGCCAAGUUCCUUCGCCAUCGUUCAACUGAGCGUUCAUCUCUCUUUCACAACGGUCAAACAGUUUCGAGCUUCUGCAAAUUCGGCUCCAAUGGAUACUUGUGAAUGCUUCAGCAUUGUCUUGCUUUAGCAUUCCGACUGACAUGCAUUGAUAUGUAUCACAGCGUAAACCGCCUCGUCUUUCGAGCUAGUAUCACCAAGUGUGUCAAGGUUGGUUUAAUUGAUGAAGCUAUCAGGAUAUUCGAUGAAAUGACUCAAUCGAAUUGCCCUGUAACGAGCAGAGACUACAAUCGCUUUAUUGGAGUUCUGAUUAGCCGCUCGCGUUUCGAUUUGGCCGAAAGUUAUUACUCGAGAAUGAUACCUCAAGGUUUUUCUCUUACGCCAUUUACUUACUCUAGGUUCAUUUCUGCUUUGUGUGAAGUUAAGAAUUUCGGCCUCAUAGCUAGGCUGUUAGAAGAUAUGAAUAAGCUUGGCUAUAUUCCUGACAUCUGGGCUUUUAAUAUAUAUUUGAAUCUCUUAUUCCGUGAAAACUUUUUAGAAUUGGCUUUAGAGUUUUUUAACGAAAUGGUUUCGAAAGGAAGGGAACCUGAUGUUGUAACAUACACCAUAAUAGUUGAUAGAUUGUGCAAAGCCAAGCAAUAUGGCCAAGCUGUGGAGUUUUGGCGUUUUAUGGUUCAGAAGGGGAUUAGUCCAGACAUGAAAGCCUGUACGGCUCUUGUUGUUGGGCUCUGCGAUGGUGGGAAAGUUGAUUUAGCAUAUGAACUUAUGGUUGGUAAAAUGAAGGGUCAGACGAAGUUCAACAAUUUGAUUUAUAAUUCUCUGAUUAGUGGGUUUUGUAAAGCUGGGAGGAUCUCUAAGGCACUGGCCCUCAAGUCAUUUAUGAGUAAUAAUGGUUGUGAGCCAGAUUUGGUUACCUACAAUAUUUUGCUGAAUUUUUUUUGCGAUGGGCUUAUGUUGGAGGAUGCAGGGGAGUCGAUGAAGAAGAUGGAGAGGAUAGGAAUGGAGCCUGAUGUGUACAGUUACAACCAACUUCUUAAGGGUCUUUGCAAGGCUAAUCGGCUGGAUAAAGCAUAUAGAUUGAUGAAUAAAAUGUGGGAGAAAGGGUUGUGUGACACUGUUUCAUACAACACUUUGAUAAGUGCACUAUGCAAAGCAUUGGCAACUAGAAAGGCAUACAAGCUAUUUGAGGAAAUGGGCCAGAAAGGUAUUGCUCCAGAUGUGGGAACAUUUGCAACUCUUAUAAAAGCUUUUCUUAGAGAAGGAAGCUCCCAUAUAGCUAAGAGACUUCUUCAUAAGAUGACCGAGACAAUUCUGUUACCUGAUCACAUAUUUUAUACAACGGUCAUAGAUUACCUUUGUAAGACGGGGAAGAUUGAGAUGGCUCAAGGCGUCUUUCAUGACAUGAUAGAGAUAGGAAUCUCCCCUGAUGUGGUUUCAUAUAAUGCUCUUAUAAAUGGGCUUUGCAAGGCCUUUAAAGUUCAUGAGGCCAUGUUACUGUAUGAAGAAAUGCAAAUGAGAGGAUGCUAUCCUGACGAGGUAACUUUCAAACUGAUAAUUGGAGGACUUUUACGAGAAAAGAAUCUUCCUUUAGCUUGUCAGGUCUGGGAUCAGAUGAUGGAGAAGGGCUAUACGCUUGACAGAUUUCUAUCCGAGGCUCUUAUCAAUGCCAUUCAGUCGAGGGAUGCUGGUUAACCAUGGAACUAGGAAACAAAUAAGCCUCUUAAAGAUAUAAAUCACAUUUUGAUACGACUGUUCAUCCGUGGGAUCCCUGGAAGAUCCUUUGGCAAUUGCGAGGCUUGGACCAGCUCUUUGACUUCUGGUGCUCCAUUCCGUGUUUGCAUACAUAUACAUCCAUCUAAUCCAUUGGAGUUUUCAAGAGGGAUUUGGUUAUAAUUGUACAAUAGACAUGGAGGCGCUUAGCUUUCCAGGCAUUGCACCUGUCUUGGAGAAAUUUCCCUUCUGAUACAGUGUCCAAAUUUCUUAUACGACCCUAUCUUCGGAUCGUGCUCAUUGCAAAAGUCAGGACUAGGAAGCCCUGCUUAGCAUCGAAAACUACCGGGAUCGAGGAUUGUAUUUCUCAUCACAUUGAUGGCAUAAGAACGAACACGUUCAAGGCAAUGUGAGUUUGUGUAAUUUUAGUUAGCCAAAAUUUUGCACGAAAAGUUGAUGUGUGUUAAUAUACGCUAGAGUUGUUCAUAAACUGUCUAGAUAUCAUGUAACUGCAAUAAAAA
This is an RNA transcript of Cucurbita maxima (winter squash), 2238 nucleotides long. It is a transcript of the gene named pentatricopeptide repeat-containing protein At1g13040, mitochondrial, with no coding region annotated. The record is from RefSeq and is a predicted model, not a curated record. The transcript is spliced from 4 exons. Lineage: Eukaryota; Viridiplantae; Streptophyta; Magnoliopsida; Cucurbitales; Cucurbitaceae.